CAUAUCAAUAAGCGGGAGGAAA
This 22-nucleotide ribosomal RNA is filed under the name uncultured Ceratobasidium. RNAcentral's name for it is "partial 28S ribosomal RNA". The record is from RNAcentral. Lineage: Eukaryota; Fungi; Basidiomycota; Agaricomycetes; Cantharellales; Ceratobasidiaceae.